This 198-nucleotide ribosomal RNA is filed under the name uncultured bacterium. RNAcentral's name for it is "partial 16S ribosomal RNA". It matches the Rfam family "Bacterial small subunit ribosomal RNA", at positions 328 to 539 of the family's 1533-position model. The record is from RNAcentral.
ACGCUCGACACCUACGGGAGGCAGCAGUGGGGAAUAUUGCACUAAUGGGGGAAACCCUGAUGCAGCGACGCCGCGUGAAGGAAGAAGUAUCUCGGUAUGUAAACUUCUAUCAGCAGGGAAGAAAAUGACGGUACCUGACUAAGAAGCCCCGGCUAACUACGUGCCACAGCCGCGGUAAUCUGAGCGGGCUGGCAAGGC